CGCGAUUCGCCCUUGGGGGUGCCCGCCGAUUGAUUUCUCUUCAAUGCUUGCAGGUGCAAUUGGGGAGCGCCAUCGUGCCACUCUUAUCGGGGUGGCUUUUAUGAAGUGUAAAAAGCUUCCAAAAUAUAAGCUGGGUAAUACCGGGGCCAGACUCCGCGGUAACACCGGCCGGUCAGGGGCCGGCCAUUAUUAUCGUGGCUAACGCGUUCGUACCCGGCCUGAUUAUUCUCUGGUGAAGUCCCAUAGCUGAUCUAUGGAAUUUGCUGGAAAUCCUAUCAUGCUUGAGAUCUGGAGAGGUUACGGGUACUCCCAGGGUACGGGUGAAAUCCUAUAAUCCUGGGAGGACCUCCUGUGACAAAUGCGCCGACGUGUACCGACUCUUACGGUGAGUAACUAACGCCAAGGGCUCGAACCGGAUUAGAUACCUGGGUAGUCGUGGCCGUAAACGAUGUGCACUUGCUGUUGGAAGGUCUUCAAGCUGCUCCACUGCCAAAUGUAAGCUGUGAAAUCCACCGUCUGCUAAUUGCUGUCUCCAGACUGAUACUUAUUUGACUUGUGCUGCGACCAC
Molecule: ribosomal RNA, 568 nt
Filed under: uncultured archaeon
Lineage: Archaea
Description: bacterial SSU rRNA
Rfam family: Archaeal small subunit ribosomal RNA
Source: RNAcentral